RNAcentral lists this ribosomal RNA (478 nucleotides) under uncultured bacterium. RNAcentral's name for it is "partial 16S ribosomal RNA". It matches the Rfam family "Bacterial small subunit ribosomal RNA", at positions 28 to 523 of the family's 1533-position model. The record is from RNAcentral.
GACGAACGCUGGCGGCGUGCUUAACACAUGCAAGUCGAACGGUAAGGCCCUUCGGGGUACACGAGUGGCGAACGGGUGAGUAACACGUGGGUGAUCUGCCCUGCACUUCGGGAUAAGCCUGGGAAACUGGGUCUAAUACCGGAUAGGACUCCGGACUGCAUGGUCUGGGGUGGAAAGCUUUUGCGGUGUGGGAUGGGCCCGCGGCCUAUCAGCUUGUUGGUGGGGUGAUGGCCUACCAAGGCGACGACGGGUAGCCGGCCUGAGAGGGUGACCGGCCACACUGGGACUGAGAUACGGCCUAGACUCCUACGGGAGGCAGCAGUGGGGAAUAUUGCACAAUGGGCGCAAGCCUGAUGCAGCGACGCCGCGUGAGGGAUGACGGCCUUCGGGUUGUAAACCUCUUUCAGCAUCAACGAAGCGAAAGUGACGGUAGGUGCAGAAGAAGGACCGGCCAACUACGUGCCAGCCGCCGCAGUAA